UGGGAAUAUUGGACAAUGGGCGCAAGCCUGAUCCAGCCAUGCCGCGUGAGUGACGAAGGCCUUAGGGUUGUAAAGCUCUUUUGGCGGGGACGAUAAUGACGGUACCCGCAGAAUAAGCCCCGGCUAACUUCGUGCCAGCAGCCGCGGUAAUACGAAGGGGGCUAGCGUUGUUCGGAAUCACUGGGCGUAAAGCGCACGUAGGCGGAUUUGUAAGUCAGGGGUGAAAUCCCGGGGCUCAACCUCGGAACUGCCUUUGAUACUGCAAGUCUCGAGUUCGGGAGAGGUGAGUGGAAUUCCUAGUGUAGAGGUGAAAUUCGUAGAUAUUAGGAAGAACACCAGUGGCGAAGGCGGCUCACUGGCCCGAUACUGACGCUGAGGUGCGAAAGCGUGGGGAGCAAACAGGAUUAGAUACCCCCGUAGUCCCUGAGCGGGCUGGCAAGGCGCAU
This 446-nucleotide ribosomal RNA is filed under the name uncultured bacterium. Its description in RNAcentral is "bacterial SSU rRNA". It matches the Rfam family "Bacterial small subunit ribosomal RNA", at positions 356 to 825 of the family's 1533-position model. The record is from RNAcentral.